Molecule: long non-coding RNA, 1475 nt
Organism: Gallus gallus (chicken)
Lineage: Eukaryota; Metazoa; Chordata; Aves; Galliformes; Phasianidae
Exons: 2
Source: RefSeq, a predicted model, not a curated record
UUGAAGUUUUUAAGACAAUAAUUCCAUAAUAAUAGCUUUAAAUAGCAUGGUGCUUUUGAGAGAAUUUCAUCCCAAAAAUGCAUUUGUGAUGUAAUGAGUUUUUACUUUCUUUUGGUUUUUAAGGUACAUUUCAAUUUUAGUUACACCUGAUACAGUCAUUAUAACCAAUGCUCUACUCAAAAUGUUAAUGCACAAGGAAACAGACAACUAGAAAUUACUGAUAUAUUGGAAAAGACUUACUGGAGUACUCAGAGCGAGAAAAGCAACGGUGAGAGCAUAUAUACGUACAUAAGAAGUGGAUACAGCAGAGCCGAGUACAAAGACGACUACUGCAGACUACACAAGAGUGCUUGAUGCUGAAGUUGUCAACACCAGAGCAAAAGGCAUACACAAGUGUUAUAAGUGUUAUAAGCAUUAUAAGCAUAAUUUCUAUCACUCGCCAGUGAGGGUGCACAUGGAAAGUGCAAAAGAAAACAUAACUGAGGCAUGAAGUAGAGUGAAAAAAAUGUGAAGCAGCCUAUGCAGAAAGUAGAGAAAUCUAUUAUUUUGUUCACAGAAAAGCUUCAAAGACCAUUCUAUACCAAUAACAUUAUUGCCUAAAUGUCUUGUAAUGAGAGGCAACAGCCUGAUUUCAAAAAUGUUGAGUUCUUAACUGAAAAGACAAACCAAAUGCCAGUAUAAUGUAAGCAUCAGCUUAUAGGCCUGCACAGUUUAUCACACGAUAGACACUGCAAUACCAACAAAUGACCAGAAAACCUACCUGAAUAUUAACUUGUUAUACAUACUGACAUGCCCUGGGUUCAAAGACAUUAAUAUACUAACAACCUGUCAAUUCAUCAGAUGAAGACAAAUCCAUGUGAUCCUUUUGUUGAACUUAAGUGUUUGACACACUAUCAUAGACUUCAGCAAGGUCUGCAGAUGUUCAGUAUUCUAUAACAGAGAGAUACAAGAGGCUAUGCACUUGAAAGGAACUUUGGUUACAUUUGAGAGAUUCCCAACAGGCUGUGGAAAGCAGCUAAGGCCCCAGACAAGUAUGCUAAGACCAUCUUCUCCAAGAGUUUUAGAGAAACAAGACUGUAAAUUAACUAAUUACAAAAGGUCUUAGCAGACUGAAGGAGGAUGCAAUAUAUGACAUUUGGAAAUCGUUUUAUCCUGCAACUUUGGCAUAUAUAAAUUUUUAUGCACACAGAUCAUACUUCUGCUCAUUUUAAGUGCAGCUAGCAUGAAAUCACACCAUAUUUCAUAAGUGCUUUAAGUGCAGAAACACAACCACUACAAUAGAAACCACGAGAAAAAAAUCUUAAUAGCAGUACUUACAUUUGGAUUGGCUUCUGCAACGUGAAUAGACAAAAAUCAUGCAAAGAUAGAUCUAGAAAAUAAUCAUCAGCUCCUGAUGAGUCCAACAAAGACAUUUAAAUAGACUUAAGAGAUCUGUAGACUUCAGGGUUUUUUUCUGUUGUUCUGGUUUUUAAAAC